GUGCCAGCAGCCGCGGUAAGACGAAGGUGGCAAGCGUUGUUCGGAAUCACUGGGCUUAAAGGGCACGUAGGCGGCCCAUCAAGCGUUUUGUGAAAUCCCUCGGCUCAACCGAGGAAUUGCUUGACGAACUGAUGGGCUUGAGGCAGGCAGGAGCGGGUGGAACUCUUGGUGGAGCGGUGGAAUGCGUAGAUAUCAAGAGGAACGCCGGUGGUGAAAACGACCCGCCGGGCCUGUCCUGACGCUGAGGUGCGAAAGCCAGGGGAGCAAACGGGAUUAGAUACCCCGGUAGUCCUGGCCAUAAACGAUGUCCACUAGGUCGAUGGUUCUCUGACGUUCUAUCGGCCGGAGCGAAAUUGUUAAGUGGACCGCCUGGGGAGUACGGUCGCAAGGCUAAAACUCAAAGGAAUUGACGGGG
This 415-nucleotide ribosomal RNA is filed under the name uncultured prokaryote. RNAcentral's name for it is "bacterial SSU rRNA". It matches the Rfam family "Bacterial small subunit ribosomal RNA", at positions 505 to 918 of the family's 1533-position model. The record is from RNAcentral.